AUGUGUCUGAGCUUAGAUUUUUGAAAACCCUAAGCACUUGGGAGACUAAGAGCGAGCUCAGAACUGACUCUUUGCUGAUGUGAACACGCGGUUAGCUGGAUAAGCAACUAUCAUGACAAAGAUGCCAAACAAAAAUCAGCUUAUUUUUCCAUGCUCUUUAAGAUGGCGCUGGAGAGUGGCAACACUAUGCAAGAUGCAUGUGACAAUAAAUAAAUCAAACUGAAGAAACGGUGCAAAUCCAGCAAUGAUCCUGCUGACUGGGCCAAACAGCCUACUCCUGCUCCUACAUCUUGUAGUCAAUUGGAUAGAAUGCACCAGAGAAGGUUUGACAUGACGUAUCUUUGUACAUUGUAAUAAAAACCUGUAACAACAA
Long non-coding RNA from Hemiscyllium ocellatum (epaulette shark), 373 nucleotides. RefSeq lists it as uncharacterized. Lineage: Eukaryota; Metazoa; Chordata; Chondrichthyes; Orectolobiformes; Hemiscylliidae. The record is from RefSeq and is a predicted model, not a curated record. The transcript has 2 exons.